This 442-nucleotide ribosomal RNA is filed under the name uncultured bacterium. RNAcentral describes it as "partial 16S ribosomal RNA". It matches the Rfam family "Bacterial small subunit ribosomal RNA", at positions 338 to 795 of the family's 1533-position model. The record is from RNAcentral.
CCUACGGGCGGCAGCAGUGGGGAAUAUUGGGCAAUGGGCGCAAGCCUGACCCAGCAACGCCGCGUGAAGGAAGAAGGCUUUCGGGUUGUAAACUUCUUUUGAGGGGGAAGAGCAUAAGACGGUACCCCUUGAAUAAGCCACGUCUAACUCCGUGCCAGCAGCCGCGGUAAUACGUAGGUGGCAAGCGUUGUCCGGAAUUACUGGGUGUAAAGGGCGUGCAGCCGGGACUGCAAGUCAGAUGUGAAAUCCGCGGGCUUAACCCGCGAACUGCAUUUGAAACUGCGUAUCUUGAGUAUCGGAGAGGUUAUCGGAAUUCUUUGUGUAGCGGUGAAAUCCGUAGAGAUAAAGAGGAAUACUCGUGGCGAAGGCGAAUAACUGGAAGGUAACUGACGGUGAGGCGCGAAAGCGUGGGGAGCAAACAGGAUUAGAUACCCGUGUAGUC